UGGAAGCUUCUUCUUUACUUUUCAAAUCACAAUAAUUGAUUCUUUGUAUUAUGUUGUAGGAGGAGUUUGUGGUGGUUAGCUUCAAAAUGUAUAGAAAUUGGUUGCAAAGACUUUAAGCUAUAAAACAAUGUUACGAACAGAUUAAUCUUAUUCAAUGCAUAAUGAUGCAGAUACAAAAGAUAUGAAAGCUCCAAGCACAUAAAACAAGGCCUUUGCGGUGCACUUUCGGUCAUCGACGAUCUUGGUUCCGGUUCCCCUCAACUGAAACUUCAUUGUGCUUCUAAAGAUGAUGAUUUUGGCAUCCAUUUUCUAUCCAAUACCCAAGACUUUAGGUGGUCGUUUUGCGAGCAUGAAUUCAGUCGUACUAUGUAUUUUUGUCAUUUCUGGUGGGGUUCAAAAGAGAAUAGUUUUGAAGUGUUUAACGACGAAUUUAGGUGUGUCCAUAAGGCAGACAUUCCAAGUGCUCAUAAAUCCGAAUGUGUAUGGGUGGUGAGACCGGACGGUUUUUAUUUGGGAUACCAUCAGAAAAAUGGAAAUCUUUGGACGUUCAAGCAUCAUGAUUGGUGAUAAUUAUGAAGCUGAAGUUUUAAUUUAUGUUCUUGUUUCUUAUGUUUGAUCUCUUGGCUAAAACGUUUUGAGUUUUUAGAAUAAGUUUGGAUUUUUGUCGAGAAAAAAGAGAGAAGAAAUACAACAAUUCAUGGAAUAUUCACUUUUUCAAAUAUUUAAUUAUCACCCUUAAGUAAA
Long non-coding RNA from Lycium barbarum (goji berry), 744 nucleotides. RefSeq lists it as uncharacterized. The record is from RefSeq and is a predicted model, not a curated record. The transcript is spliced from 2 exons. NCBI's taxonomy places the organism in Eukaryota, Viridiplantae, Streptophyta, Magnoliopsida, Solanales, Solanaceae.